CGCGUAGGCGGCUUGAUAAGUCAAAGGUGAAAGCCCUCGGCUCAACCGAGGAACUGCCUUUGAUACUGUCUCGCUAGAGGCCGGGAGAGGGUAGUGGAAUUCCCAGUGUAGCGGUGAAAUGCGUAGAUACUGGGAGGAACACCCGUGGCGAAGGCGGCUACCUGGACCGGUACUGACGCUGAGGUGCGAAAGCGUGGGGAGCAAACA
Molecule: ribosomal RNA, 207 nt
Filed under: uncultured bacterium
Lineage: Bacteria
Description: partial 16S ribosomal RNA
Rfam family: Bacterial small subunit ribosomal RNA
Source: RNAcentral